This 440-nucleotide ribosomal RNA is filed under the name uncultured bacterium. RNAcentral's name for it is "partial 16S ribosomal RNA". It matches the Rfam family "Bacterial small subunit ribosomal RNA", at positions 339 to 795 of the family's 1533-position model. The record is from RNAcentral.
CUACGGGCCGCAGCAGUGGGGAAUAUUGCACAAUGGGGGGAACCCUGAUGCAGCAACGCCGCGUGGAGGAUGACGCAUUUCGGUGUGUAAACUCCUUUUAUAUGUCAAGAAAAUGACGGUAGCAUAUGAAUAAGCACCGGCUAACUCCGUGCCAGCAGCCGCGGUAAUACGGAGGGGUGCAAGCGUUACUCGGAAUCACUGGGCGUAAAGGACGCGUAGGCGGGUUGGAAAGUCAGGUGUGAAAUCCUACAGCUUAACUGUAGAACUGCACUUGAAACUUCUAAUCUAGAGUAUGGGAGGGGGAGAUGGAAUUAGUGGUGUAGGGGUAAAAUCCGUAGAUAUCACUAGGAAUACCUAAAGCGAAGGCGAUCUCCUGGAACAUUACUGACGCUAAGGCGUGAAAGCGUGGGGAGCAAACAGGAUUAGAUACCCCCGUAGUC